Molecule: long non-coding RNA, 1119 nt
Filed under: Lactuca sativa (garden lettuce)
Lineage: Eukaryota; Viridiplantae; Streptophyta; Magnoliopsida; Asterales; Asteraceae
Description: long non-coding RNA (LSAT_LNC008015)
Source: RNAcentral
CCUUUAUUGUCGGCUUCCAUAUAUACUACGUCGUUUUCUUUAAAUUAUAAAUCCACAGUCUGAUUUCCUUGGUUUUUUUUCUCAAGCCCCAAUUUUUCAAUCUUAUGCUCUUUUCCAUCGAUUUUGUUGUGGCUGCAGUAGUUAUCACACGAUUCUAAAUCUUACUAUUCUUCCUUGACAAUGAUAUGGGUUUGCGAUAAUGGGUUACAAGUUCAGCUUCUUCCAUGGCCGUCGUAUUGCUCCUCAAUCCUCAUUUUAUACAACCUUUUCCCUUAUUUCGUCCUAGUAAGUUUCCCAUGAAAUUGAACGUUUACAUUAUAUCUCUCUUCCUUUCCCUGUUCUGAUUGUAGGAUUUAAAAUGUUGAAAGACAAGACGUGGGUCCCAAUCCAUUUCUUUGUCAUUUGAUUUUGACUUUUGUUUUUCAUGUUCCAGUGGGUAGCAUGUUAUUGUGGUUUAACUUAGUAGUGGUUUGAAUAGUUUGCAAAAAGUUACAGUAACAUGUCAAAAUUCUUUUUAAUUUAUGUGAAAGUUGUAUUAGAUUGAAUGGCUUGUACACUAGCAGAAGGUAACUGACAUUAUAUAUGUUAUAGUUCUUGUUUAUUGGAAUGCAUAGUAGGUGUUUGAUGUAAUGUCUAAAUGAAAUAAGCCACUAAAAAUACAUAAUAUAGCAGUUUAUUAUCUAAGUAAAGUGGAUGCAGUUGAAAUUAUCCAUCUUUUAAAAGAAAUAAGCUACGAAAGUAUGAAGUUUAUAGUAUGCAAUGGAUAUUUCAAUAUGUUCGUUGUGUGUAUAUGCUAUUUAAAAGUUUUCCAAUUUCCAUGACAGUCAAGGAUGCUUCGUGAGGGAAGAUCGUGCAAGAAUCUAGGAUGUUUGACAAAUUGCCAACUUGAAGAACGAGGGACAUGAAAAAAACAACUGAAAGCAACAAUUGAUCAGAGUUGAAACUCGCAGCAACCCAAAUUUUAGCUACUUCUAGUUUUUUAGUUGGCGGAUUCUUAUUUGUUAGCUUGGAUUUUUUGUACAUCAAAAUUUUUUCUAAAUUCAGUUUUUUUUAGUUGGUAAUUUUCUAAGGUGAGUUCUUUUCAUUUGGGGAAUUCUAUAAAACAAUUCUUAUUGGUGC